This 401-nucleotide ribosomal RNA is filed under the name uncultured bacterium. RNAcentral's name for it is "bacterial SSU rRNA". It matches the Rfam family "Bacterial small subunit ribosomal RNA", at positions 28 to 417 of the family's 1533-position model. The record is from RNAcentral.
GACGAACGCUGGCGGCGUGCCUAACACAUGCAAGUCGAACGAGAUCCAGAGGAGCUUGCUCCUUGAAGAUCUAGUGGCGAACGGGUGAGUAACACGUGAGCAACCUGCCCUGGAAUCGGGGAUAACCCGAGGAAACUCGAGCUAAUACCGGAUACCUUCCUUUGGUCGCAUGGCCGCAGGAAGAAAGAACUUCGUUCCAGGAGGGGCUCGCGGCCUAUCAGCUUGUUGGCGGGGUAACGGCCCGACCAAGGCUACGACGGGUAGGCUGGUUUGUAGAGAACGGUCAGCCACACUGGGACGUGAGACACGGCCCAGACUCCUACGGGAGGGCAGCAGUGGGGAAGUCUUGCGCAAUGGGCGAAAGACCUGACGCAGCAACGCCGCGUGCGGGAUGACGGCCU